Molecule: unclassified non-coding RNA, 337 nt
Filed under: soil metagenome
Description: partial contains 5.8S ribosomal RNA, internal transcribed spacer 2, and large subunit ribosomal RNA
Rfam family: 5.8S ribosomal RNA (bases 1-120)
Source: RNAcentral
GAUGAAGAACGUAACGAAAUGCGAUAAGUAAUGUGAAUUGCAGAAUUCAGUGAAUCAUCGAAUCUUUGAACGCACAUUGCGCCCGCCAGUAUUCUGGCGGGCAUGCCUGUUCGAGCGUCAUUUCAACCAUCAAGCCCCCCGGCUUGUGUUGGGGACCUGCGGCUGCCGCAGGCCCUGAAAAGCAGUGGCGGGCUCGCUGUCACACCGAGCGUAGUAGCAUACAUCUCGCUCUGGGCGUGCUGCGGGUUCCGGCCGUUAAACCACCUUCAUAACCCAAGGUUGACCUCGGAUCAGGUAGGAAGACCCGCUGAACUUAAGCAUAUCAAUAAGCGGAGGA